GAUGAACGCUAGCGGCAGGCUUAAUACAUGCAAGUCGAGGGGCAGCACGGUGUAGCAAUACAUGGGUGGCGACCGGCAAACGGGUGCGGAACACGUACAGAACCUUCCUCAGAGCGGGGGAUAGCCCAGAGAAAUUUGGAUUAAUACCCCAUAGGAUAGUGGAGUGGCAUCACUCAGCUAUUAAAGAUUUAUCACUUUGAGAUGGCUGUGCGUCUGAUUAGGUAGUUGGUGAGGUAACGGCUCACCAAGCCGACGAUCAGUAACUGGUGUGAGAGCACGACCAGUCACACGGGCACUGAGACACGGGCCCGACUCCUACGGGAGGCAGCAGUAAGGAAUAUUGGUCAAUGGACGCAAGUCUGAACCAGCCAUGCCGCGUGGAGGAUGAAGGUCCUCUGGAUUGUAAACUUCUUUUAUCUGGGACGAAAAAGGGAAUUCUUUCUCGUCUGACGGUACCAGAUGAAUAAGCACCGGCUAACUCCGUG
Molecule: ribosomal RNA, 485 nt
Filed under: uncultured bacterium
Lineage: Bacteria
Description: bacterial SSU rRNA
Rfam family: Bacterial small subunit ribosomal RNA
Source: RNAcentral